CUUUCUUCUCGCAACUGCAGCUUGGCGCUUGGUGGACUUGUACGCGAGAAAUCCGCUUAUUACUCCGGACCCAUUUCCAAACCAACAACAAAUAUCUCUUCAACCUUCGGAGCUCUCUAUCUAUCUAUCUGUCUAUCUAUAUUAUACUCUCUGCCACUGCAAUCCUUAAUUUCUUCCAUGUCUUUCCCCUUCUCUUUCCUCUUUAUGAAUGCUUCCUUCAUUCUUGAUCUGGGGUCGUAUCACUACCUCUUCGAUCGUAUCUUUCGCUGUUGAACUCUUUCUAUUUUGCUUCUUUUAGCUGUUCUGGGCAAUUUAUUCAAACUAUAGCCCUCUGGGUCUUGAUCUUCAUUUCCCCUUCUUGCAUGCUUCAACCGAUUUGGGAUGAUGGGUUUUCUACUGCACAAUUGAAAUCUUAAGUGUUUGAAAUUCUGUGUUGGGGUACUACAGUUAUGGGUCGAGGUAGGGGAAAGGGAAAGAAGUUUUCAGUUACUAAUUUUGAGGAUGCUGGCAGUGGUGAAGAAGAAAAAGUGCCAGUGCAGAAGAGAAGAGGAAGACCGCUAAGACCACUGAAAGAUGAGAUUGAUGAAGAAGAACUUGAAAAGGUAGAAGAGGAAGGAAGUGACAAGACCACAAAUGGUUUGUUGGGCAAAGAGAUUAAAAGUUCGAUAGCUGCAGAAAGUGUAAAGAAGAGGAAACGGAAUUCACAGGCAAAAGAAAAAUCCGAUUCAGUUAAAGUGGAGAGUGGUGUUGCCACCAGAGCCACUACUGAUGACUCAACAAAGUCCAAUGGUUUUCGUCAUAAUGGCAGCAGGAGGAAAAGCAAGCCUCGUCGAGCUGCUGAAGCAGGUGUUGAGUGCAAGUAAAAUUAUGGUUGGCAGUUCCAGUUGAUACAUCACCCUUUAUUUGUGCUUGCAGAAUCAUGUGAUGAGAAGUGAGCCUGUCAAAUUUCUUUUUCAAUUUUAUUAUUUUAUUUGUUUCUCCUAUUUUUUGGUUAUUCCUUUCUGGAAUUCCGUCUUGAUUUUAGUUUGAUGGACUUGAAAUGAUGAUAAUGACUGCAGUCUCUCUCCGAUAUUCUGUUAAUAUUUGAGGCAUUCUGUGUUUUCUUGUAUUAAGUUUUGACCAUGCCAUGUUUGAGAAGUAUCUCUUUCCUUAAUUUUAAGAAUUAUCCCUUACGUAUGGUGUCUUUUGUAAUCCAAUAAUCAGGCUUGCCUGUGUCAUCCUCUAUGCCCAAAUAUGUGAAACUAGAUAUAUUAAGAAGCCAAACACCUUGGCAUGGCAUGGAUACGAGCAUUUUGGACAUCCCAUUACGACAAAUUUUGAAAGAGGGGACUACUGCAGUACCAUGUCAAUUAACUGUUAGAAACUACCCAAGAUUCCUUGUCCAUUUUGGACCUAUAUUUCUGUGCUACAUCUUAUAGAAGAUUAUGUCUUGGUUAUAUGUUCCAGUUGUAUCCUAGAUUGUAUAUAUUUCCAAAUCUAGAUUAGGAAACUUCCUAAUUGGAAGCUGCCUAUUGUGGUAGAACAUCUUGUAUAUAUAUAUUCAUCCUAACCCUACAAAGGUAAUAAGAUCGAAUAUCUUUUCUAGCCACUUUUGACAUUAACAAAUAUAUAUUAUUUAUUACAUCAAAACAUAACUGCUUUUAUUGUUGUUUUCUGUUUAAAUUAUAAUCACAUAAUACUCUAUUACCUCAAAUUAGUGCAAAAUCACAAAUGUAUUGGUAAAGAAUUGUGAAUUAAAAACCAUAACUUAAAUGUCUAUCUUAGAAAGUUCUAUGUAGAAAUAAGUUGAAAGUUUUGGCUUUAGAAUUUGUGAGAAAACAAUUAUGAGAGAAAAACUUAAGAGAUUAGUCUCUUAGUGUGUUAUUUAUAAUAGGCACAAUGAGCCUAAUAACCUACAGGCUUAGCCUAUGGACUUAGUCUAAUUAUACAUAGUUAUAACAAAUAAAUAAAUAAAAAUACUAACAACAAUAUGCAAUAUAUCUAAUUAUACUAAUAAUUCUAAUACUCCCUCUCAAGUUGGAGCAUAGAUAUCAUAUGCACCAAGAAGCUUGUUACAGAUAUAUUCUAUCCGAGGACUGUUUAGAGACCUUGGUGAAGACAUCAGCAAGUUGAUCACUGGAGUUAACAAACUCUGUAAUAAUAACACCUUCAACCAGCUUUUCUCUAAUAAAGUGACAGUCGAUUUGAAUAUGUUUAGUUCGCUCAUGGAACACUGGAUUGGAAGCAAUGUGCAAGGCAGCCUGAUUAUCACAAACAAGCUUCAUAGGGGACACUUCACAAAACUUGAGUUCCUCCUAGAUGAGCUCACAAGUUGCAUUAGCCAUAGCCUGAUACUCUGUCUCUGCACUGGAUCUAGUUACUACAUUAUGUUUCUUACUUUUCCAAGAAAUCAAAUUUCCUCCCACAAGAAUACAAUAUCUAGAGGUCGACCGACGAUCAGAAGGAGAGCCGACCCAAUCUGCAUCUGCAUAACAACAAAUAUCUAUGUGCCUCUCAUCCUCAUAGAGUAGUCCUUUACCCGGUGCUUGUUUGAUAUAUCUUAGAAUCUGGAUAAUAGCAUCCUAGUGAGAAUCACAUGGAGAAUUGAGAAACUGACUCACCACACUCACAGCAAAAGCCAUGUCGGGAUGAGUGACUGUGAGUUAGUUUAGUUUGCCUACCAAUCUUCUAUACCUUCCAAGAUCCGAGCAAGACUUCCCCUAUCCAGGCAAGAGUUUGACAUUUGGGUCCAUUGGGGUGUCAAUCGGUUUGCAGUUCACCAUACCAGUUUCUUCUAAGAUGUCAAGUGCAUACUUCCUCUGAGAGAUUGAGAUUCCAUCUCUUGAUUGAGCAACUUCAAUACCCAAGAAAUACAAGAGUUUGCCUAGGUUUUUAGUUUGAAAGUGCUGAUGGAGAUGUUCCUUCAGAUUUUGUAUACCAACUUGAUCGUUCCCUGUGAUAACAAUGUUAUCUACAUAAACAACGAGAUAGAUACAUAAAAAAAAAAAGAAGAAUAUCGAUAGAAAACUGAAUGAUCAGCUUCAUUUCGAGUGAGACCAAAGGCUUGAACCACAGUGCUGAACCUGCCGAACCACGCUCGUGGAGAUUGUUUCAGGCCAUAGAGAGACUUCUUGAGUUUGCAGACUACAUUGGACCCCCCCUGAACAACAAAACUAGGUGGUUGCUUUAUAUAAACCUCCUCUUGCAAAUCACCAUGAAGAAAGGCAUUCUUAAUGUCCAAUUAGAGUGACCAAUAACGCGUAACAGUCAUAGAGAGAAAUAGGCGAAUAGAGGCCAUUUUAGCAAUUGGAGAGAAUGUAUCACUGUAAUCCAACUCAUAGAUUUGUGUAAAGCCUUUGGCAACCAAGCGGGCUUUAAGACGUUCCACCUGUCCGUCAGGGCCCACUUUAGGGGUGAACACCCACCGACAACUAACGAGAGUCUUUUCUGGUGGCAAAGGCACCAAAUCCCAAGUGCCAGUAGAAUGCAAAACACUCAUCUCAUCUAACAUAGCCUGGCGCCAACCAGGAUGGGACAUGGCUUCACCUGUGGUUUUAGGAAUAGAAACAGAAGAAAGGGUCGAAACAAAAGCACUAUAAGCAGGUGACAAAUGGUCAUAACACAAAAAAUUAUAAAGAGGAUGUGGAUUGCGAGUAGACCGUAUACCUUUGCGGAGUGCAAUAGGAAGGCUGUCGAGCUGAGAAUCCAUGGCAAGAGUGACCAUUAAUGGAGAGAGUGAGUCAAGAGAGUCGCAGUCAAGAGGAAUGCCGGUGCCAGGAGCAAGAUGAGGACGACAAUGAUUAGUAAGAAGUGGAGGAGUCGGGGAGUGUGGACUGGAAGAUGGAAGUGAAGGGUCCACCGACGAGGAGAUAGACGGAUCUGAUAAGGGCAAUGAAAGAGAAGGAAUAGGCAAUACCUGGUCAAGACACUGUGAAUUAGGCUGAACAAUCGAGAAGAAGGACUGUUGUUCAAAGAAUGUGACAUCAUCUCAGACAUAAGAUAGCGGUUCAACUCAGGAGAGUAACAUUUAUAGCCUUUCUGCAACCGGGAGUAAUCGAGGAAAAUACACUUGAGGGAUUUGGCAGCAAGUUUAUCCUGUGCUGGUGAAAAGGAAUGCACAAAACAGAUACAUCCAAAUACAUGAAGGGGAACAAAAUAAAGGGUCUGGGAGGAGAACAAAAGAAAGUGAGGAAUGUUGUCCUUUAACACUGAAGAUGGCAUGCGAUUGAUCAGAUAACACGCAGUAAGAACAACAUCUCCCCAGAAUUUGGUGGGAAGAUUGGCAUGUAAAAGUAGUAUUCGUGCAAUUUUAAUGAGAUGACGAUUUUUAUGCUCGACAACACCAUUUUGUUGAGGUGUAUAAGGACAAGAAGAUUGAUGCAAAAUGCCAUGAGUAGUCAUAAAAGUAGUAAAUUGAGAAGAAAAGUACUCGGGGGCAUUAUCACUACGUAAAACACGUAUAGAAACUCCAAACUGUGUUUUUAUUUCAGCAGUGAAUGUCUGAAAGACAUAAAACAACUUAGAUCGACUUUUCAUGAGAAAUAACCAAGUGCAGCGAGAAAAAUCAUCAAUGAAAGUAACAAAAUAUGAGAAACCAAGAGUAGAAGUGACACGACUGGGCCCCUAUACAUCAAAGCGCACAAGAGAAAAUGGAGCCUCAGCCCUAUUAAUGACACAACUGGAAAAAGAACUACGUGCGUGUUUACCACAUUGACAUGACUCACAAUGAAAAAUAAACAAUGAUGACAAACUAGGAACUAAUUUCUACAAUUUGGAGAGGCUGGGAUGACCAAGACGAGAGUGGAGAAGAUUUGGGGAAGGAGCACUGGUGCAAGCCAUUGGCACAGCAAGAUGAUAGUGACCAUGUGACUCACGCCCGACGCCAAUCGUCCACCCCGUACCCUGGUCCUGUACACAAACAGAGGCAGGAGUGAAAAUGACCGAGCAGUUAAGGGUUUUAGUAAGUUGGCUAACUGAAAUCAAAAUUGAAAGGACUGUCAGGGACAUAUAAAACCGAAUUUAAAGAUAAAGACGAAGUGGGUGUGGUUUGGCCUAUCCCUUUAACUUCAGUUCUGGUGCCAUCAGUCAGGGUAACUGUAGGCAAGGUAUCAGAAUAAGUAAGUGAAGAGAAAAGAAGUUCAUUACCACACAUAUGAUCAGUAACCCUAGAAUCUAUAAUCCAAGGACCAAGAGAUGGGCUUUUAGCAACGCAAGUAACGAGAUUACCAGGAUGAGACUGCUGGGUGGCCUGAAACUUCAAAAAGACAUCAUACUCAGCUGCAGACAUAUGUAUCAACUGUGAACCCGGUGCAGAUUGGGCAGAACUAGGAUCACUCUAGAAUGCAUGAGCUGCAUUGGUAGAUGAUGUAGGCGGAGCAGCAGGCCGACCAUGUUUCUUCCAACACCUGUCCUCAAGAUGACCUAGUUUCUUACAAAAAGUACACUGUGGACGUGUCCGAUUAUUAUUACGGCCUCUAUUUUCUCCUGAGUGAGAAGUCUAAGACACAAGGGCUGAAGAUUCGGUUGGAGGAACAACAUGAGAAGAAGAUGACAUACCAUGUGCACCGAUUAUGUUCAACAACCUUUUAAAAGAGUCCUUCAUGGUAGGAUUAGUGGAGCUGGUUAAGAUUUGAUGCCUGAAGGCGUCAAAUUCUGGGUUUAGACCGGAAAGAACAAUAACCAUAAAAAAAUUCUCUCUUUGAGUAAUCUGUUCGGUCUUGGUCAUAGUAAUGGGAAGAAGAGCAUCAAAUUCUUGCAUGAGAGCCCGAACCUGUCCCAAAUAAGAUUCCAUGGACGACUCUUGCUUCAAAUUCUUGAUAUUAGAGACCACAGUGUACAAACGUUAGAUGCCAUUCGUAUACCAUUCUUUAGCUUCCUUCCACACGUCAACACAAGUUUCAAAUGGCCGAAAGAGCCGCGUGAUGGAUGGAUCAAUGGACUGCUAUAGGAGACUACAUAAUUGGGCAUCAACUUGUUCCCAUCUAGCCCGAUUGACUUCUGGCACACUUCUAGCCUUUGUGGUAAGAUGAUUGGCUUGGCCUUGCCCUUUGAAUCACAUUUUGACAGAGGCUGCCCAUGAGAGAUAAUUGGCAGACCCUAUCAACUUGACAGUGGUGAUAUUGGAUGUUCCGAGAUUGGAGACAAUAAAGGACUGAGAGACAGCAGGGGCAACAGGUGUAGUUGCGGGAGUAGCACCAAUAGAAAUUGCGUCACUGAGGUUAGACAUAGCAAGGAUUUGACACCGGGAAUAGGCCUAGGGAAGGGAGGUGAGCUGAUUUGGAGAAUUUGGGAGAAAACGGCCGGUAGACGCACCUUCACGCGCCAGCACGUGGGGGCGGACGGCUGCGCGUGGCGGCAGCGUGUGGGAGCUUCGACGGCUGCGAUUUUCCAACCGCAACUUGGCCUGAAGGCGGCGAACCCUAGGGUGGGGUUGGUUCCAGCAAACGACGGCCGAACAAUGAUGUUUUGGUGUGAACAGUUACGGUGAAGAAAGAAAACUAGGGUUUUCCGGCGUGAACAAUGAUGGUGAAGAAAGAAAACUAGGGUUUUUAGGCCGUUGGAAAAAGAUACACAACGGUGGCUAGGGUUUUUUUCAUCGGUGGCUCUGAUACCAUGUGAAAAAACAAUUAUGAGAGAAAAACCUAAGAGAUUAGUCUCUUAGUGUGUUAUUUAUAAUAGGCACAACGGGUCUAAUAACUUACGAGCUUAGCCUAUGGACUUAGUCUAAUUACACAUAGUUAUAACAAAUAAGUAAAUAAAGACACUAACAACAAUAUGAAAUAUAUCUAAUUAUACUAAUAAUUCAAAUAGAAUUCUUCAAACUGAAUCUUAGUAGAGGAUGGACUAAUAAAUACAUAUCCAUAUUGUUCGAUGAUAUAAAUAAUUUUUAAGUUAUUUGUUGAGCUGAUAGGCAUGCAUGUUCUAAACUUGUGAUGAUUGUUAGCAAUGUGUUAUUUCUUUACCCCAGAAUUUCUAAAUUAACUUUUAACAAACAUUUUUCCAACCUUGGUUGAGGCCUUGCUAAGAUUUAUUUACAUAUUUUGUAUUGUUUAAGCAUUUAUUGUGUUGUAUUUAAAGUAGAAGAUUGCUUAGUGGUAAAUCCUGCAAGUUUCACCUUUUCUAUGGCUCUAAUUAAAAUAAGCUCAAAAAGGUUUAAGUGAAUAUUAUUGUGACCUGGGGAGUUGUUUGCCAGAAAUGAUAGUUGAUGUCCAUGAACAUUGCCCCUUGAGAGUCCAUGUAACGAUACUGAAUAUUAUUACUUUCUUCAAAUUUACUGUUUACUCGCAUGAUUGUAAUUAAUUUGAAAGUCCGGGGGGGUUGAAUAAAAUUUUGUGCGGCAGUGGUUUGCCGCAUCUAAAUGCAGUUCAAACUGAUGUCUUAGGAUUAGGAAGCUUGACUGUUUGGUCACAGCAUUUUGUGAAAGCUUUGAGAGAUUUUACGUUAUUCAUUGGUUGUUUGAGUAUAAUCAGGGAAAGCACAAUUGCACUAAAGCUGUGUUUUUUGUUCACACCUCAAGCUGUGAGAUUUACAUGAGAGAUCUGGACUUAAUACUCUAAUUUCUUUAAAUGGCACCAAAAUGUUAAGUCGUUUUUGGCUCAAUACCCACUAUUAUUUCAGGUAUACUAGUCAUAAUGCUUUUAUCUAAUGGGAUCUAUCUGAGAGUUGUUCAUUUUAGAAUCAGGGCAAUUUCUGAAGUACUUAAAUUUGUAAAUAGGAGACUGAUAAUAUUGUUUCUGUUACCAAUUAUUUGAACAUCUGGAGCAAAUUUUUUGAAUACCUGACUUGUUUGUACCUUCUUCUUACACCUUUUCCUCUGUUGUGUGUGUGUGUGCAGUACUUGCUGUAUGAAGUUAUUUGAAAUUUAAUGCUCAAUAAAUAGUUUCAAGUGUACAAGUUUUGAGAAACCUGGUGAGAACAAUAAAAAAGGAUUUGUGUGUUUUUUUUUACCGCACUAAGUGUUUUGAGUGAUAGGCCUUGCCCUUCUACCAGAACAAGCACCAGUGGAGGAUGAUAUAUAUAUAUAUAUAUAUCAAAUGAGAACUGAAAAAUAAGAGAUGCCAAGAAGCAAAGAUACUUCAUAUCAUGUCUAUGUGGGGCCUUAAACAUUCAUUAGAUUCCCCAUGAUACAUGUCUGAGUGCACAUUUCUAAAACAAUUAAAAAAUAUUGGCACACAUUUGAAGUUGGUCCAGUGGCUUGCACAAUGGAACAGCCCCUACUUAAAAAUAAUGCUUGGUUACGUCUAGUGCCUCUCAAGGGAUCCAGAAUCUGUUGACAAAUUCCUACGUGAAGCUUGAACGGGAACCUGACAUUGGACUGGACGGCCUUGGGAAACUUGUUUGGAACUGCUUGGCCACAGAAGAAGUCGUUAUUAUAUUUCCUUGUGAGAGUGGAUUUUUAGGGGUUUCACAAUGCUGAUCCAUAAGAAUUCAGUUGUCACUGUUUUCAGGUGGUCAAGUGAUAUAGUAUCUGUUUACGAAUACCCAACGGAAAGGUGAAUGAACACCUGGAAUUGGACAACCUUUGCGAAUCUACGAACUGUUUACCUGCAGCACAAGUUCAUACAUUUUAAGGACUCUUCAGUUUUCCGACUUUGUUUUUUGUAUGACUUCAGCUUUUUGACUGUAUGAUCAUCUUCAGUUUUCACUCUUCAGACUUGAUGCUUCUAUUCUCGUAGUCUUCGAUUGUCAACUGGACUGACUGUGAGGGACGAGGGUCAACAACGAGUGGACUGUGAGAAAUGAGGAUGACUGGACUGUGGGCGACACCUGGCGGUGAGUGGGAACUGGAAUGUUGCGACUGAAUUUUGCCAGCGACCUUGUGACUGGAGUUUGGACAAGUUGAGACUGGAUUUUGUGAGGUUAUGGGACUUUUUGGUUGCUGCUUGCUUGGCUAUUCACAGUGAGUUGCGAGACUUCCGACUGGAUUCUUCUUGACAUUAGAAAUAUAAAAAUUUAUUUUAUUAAUUAACGUGUAUCACGACAACACUGUUGCAUCCCACUUUUUUUUUUUUUUAAAAAAUGUCGUGUUGCCAUGUCCA
Long non-coding RNA from Diospyros lotus (date-plum), 9017 nucleotides. RefSeq lists it as uncharacterized. The record is from RefSeq and is a predicted model, not a curated record. The transcript has 2 exons. Lineage: Eukaryota; Viridiplantae; Streptophyta; Magnoliopsida; Ericales; Ebenaceae.